UCUCAUGGGCGCCCAUGGG
RNAcentral lists this microRNA (19 nucleotides) under Ectocarpus siliculosus. RNAcentral describes it as "esi-miR8623d". The record is from miRBase by way of RNAcentral. Lineage: Eukaryota; Phaeophyceae; Ectocarpales; Ectocarpaceae.